CUAACCUAAUGUCACAAUUCUAUCACAGUCUUUGUUCGUAGCUGCCACCAGGCUACGAUGACACGUUGCAAACUCUCUACUACAUCGUAAGAGUGACACACGCGCAUCAACCACAAAAUGAACAAAUCCUGCUACAAAAAAAAUGAGAUUCAGAUUUGGAUCCUGUCACCAAUUGAAAUCCUGAUCAGAGCUGCGCAAUUAUGGGUUACUACAUCGUACCACAUAAGACAUCAGAUGAUCACAAUUUCACUCGACAAAAGGACAUACACUACAUCGAUGGAACUAUCAUUUUUUAUUUUUUUGAAUUCAAAUUUCAAAAUUGGGCGCCAUAUUGUUACGGACUGGUUGUCUUCCCCUGGGGCCGCGCCGGCUGGCUCAUCGGUACUCAGGUGGAGUUCCAUCCCUGGCCCGCAGUCCGCACAAUCGAUAACUUCACCGAUAUUAACAGCUGUGUACAACAGAAGAAACGCAUCACUAACAGAAAAACAGCUGCCGCGCAAUUGAAAAUUGCGCUAAACAAAAGGAAAUCCAAAACAAACUAUUGAUGAGGGGCCCAGUUGGACCCCGGCGUACCCACCCUGCCUGAGAUGGCCACAUCGGCGCCAUCUCCCUUUGCGUUGGCCACCAUAUCAGUGGCUGCUCCUCAUCCGGCGUAGUGUUGUGGAAUUUCCCUCCCCUCCAUGCUGAGAAGACUCACACAACCAUGUUCAACAUAACAUACAAAUAUUUGGACUUCAAAAUGGCAAAGGAACAAGAUUCAUAAAUCACGCAGCGAAACAACAAAUAGCCACAACGGCGUAAAGGACAACUUCUCUUAUAUGUAACACAUCCGGGCGGUUCGAAUAUAUUUAUUUACCAGUUUAUAUACGCAUGU
Drosophila nasuta is the source of this 874-nucleotide long non-coding RNA. RefSeq lists it as uncharacterized. Lineage: Eukaryota; Metazoa; Arthropoda; Insecta; Diptera; Drosophilidae. The record is from RefSeq and is a predicted model, not a curated record. The transcript is spliced from 3 exons.